Glycine soja is the source of this 820-nucleotide long non-coding RNA. RefSeq lists it as uncharacterized. The transcript has 2 exons. The record is from RefSeq and is a predicted model, not a curated record. NCBI's taxonomy places the organism in Eukaryota, Viridiplantae, Streptophyta, Magnoliopsida, Fabales, Fabaceae.
GUGAAAUGAGAAGCAAAAGGUUUUGACUAUUGUGGGUAAGGGAGCAAAUAAAUUAAAGUGGUGUUGUCCACAUUUUCAUGCCCGUGCUUUGUGGACUUGAAAUGGUCAGUAUCUACAAAAGGAGGAGGGUGAAGACCUUAAUUUAUUGUGGAUUUGUCCUUUCUAGCCAGCUGCAACCCAUCAAAGCACUGGCACCUGAAUUCUAUAUCUAGUACGUAGUACCAAAUUAAGCUAAGCCUUUCAAGACUAGAUAUAAAUAAAUAAAGUAAAACCAAAGCAUUAUUUCAGAACAAUAUGAAAUUAAUGUGAACAGCACCAUACAAGAGCAUGCCUACAUGCACCCUGGUUACAUUCAUUUGUCCCCAGUCCCCACUUCUCCAUCUUUGGGAUUUAAUUUGGCGUUUUUAAAGCCUUUUUUGUCUUUGUUGUCUGAGACUGCAAUCCAGGGAAGCUUUUAUUGGUAGGGGGGCCUUAUGGAAGAGAGGGGAUAUAAGCUGAGAAAGAUCAUGAAGUAGGUUUGGAAAGCUAAGUACUGACCAGCUGAACAUUUAAACCCAAAUUAUCAUGUCGCUUCAGGAAAAAGGAAUUUGGUGUUAGUUUUGGGAGCUCCCAGGUGCUAGAAAGAAUAAGGAUCGCCGUCUGCCUAAGUAUGCUUUUAACUGAAUGUGAGGCUUUUUGAUUUAUAACUAGUGAUUUCUUGUGUUUAAAAUUCUGCAAUGGUAAGAAAUUAGUUCGUGGAGUAAAUUUAUAAUGAGCUAAUUGAUUAUGUUCUGAAUUUUGUAUCUAGACAAAUGGUAUCAAAUAUUGAAGUUCAUUCUAA